Molecule: ribosomal RNA, 238 nt
Filed under: uncultured bacterium
Lineage: Bacteria
Description: partial 16S ribosomal RNA
Rfam family: Bacterial small subunit ribosomal RNA
Source: RNAcentral
UACGAAGGGGGCUAGCGUUGUUCGGAAUCACUGGGCGUAAAGGGCGCGUAGGCGGCUUGAUAAGUCGGGGGUGAAAGCCUGUGGCUCAACCACAGAAUUGCCUUCGAUACUGUCGAGCUUGAGACCGGAAGAGGUAAGUGGAACUGCGAGUGUAGAGGUGAAAUUCGUAGAUAUUCGGAAGAACACCAGUGGCGAAGGCGACUUACUGGACACAUAUUGACGCUGAGGUGCGAAAGCG